Molecule: small RNA, 958 nt
Filed under: Arabidopsis thaliana (thale cress)
Lineage: Eukaryota; Viridiplantae; Streptophyta; Magnoliopsida; Brassicales; Brassicaceae
Description: ATSL260220
Source: RNAcentral
AAUUUAUCGAUAAAUUAAUACCUCUUUAAAUUAAUAAAUUUUCUUGGUCCCGACAUUAUUAAUUUAUAGAGGAUUUAUAGAGGUUUUACUAUAUUUUUGUAAGCCAUGCGAUUAUGAAAGUCAAUAGAAGGAAAAAAAAAGAUUUGUGAAACCAAAACAAGUAUGCACAUCAAGUUUUCUUCAUGACAAGUUGACUUUAUAUUUUGUAGUUUGUUUAAGGUAUAUAUAUAUAUAUAUAUACACCACAAAAAAUAAGAUGGAAGACGUCGGUUUAUUAAUGUCACUUGUUAAACCGACUUUAAGAAUUUUAAUAGGAAGGGAUUUCACGUCAUUUAAUAAAACGACUUAAUUUUAAUUAGAAUGGCGUCACUUAAUAACCCUUGUAACUAUAGCCUGUUUUAAUCACCAAAUGUCAAUUAAGGUACGUUCUAAAUUUCUAAUGCCGCCGCAGCUUCCGUUGUAUUGUCCGUCGUACUCCGUCAGUGUAUUCCGAGCUGUUCUUCUGAUGAAAAGCCAUCGCAACUUUUUGUCAUAUUCUUCUGCUUCAUCCUCUAAAGAAUCGCUGGUUCUCUCAACAUCGUAUAUGGCUCUUCCUCGAUCUCUCGCAUUUUUCCCUUUUUCAAUGAUUCUUCUUCGUCUCCGGUGAGUGUUCUAUUAUUUGGUCUUCGAUUUAGGGAUUUGAUUUAGUUCUUAAAUGAAAUUGGAAUCAAUUUGGCGAUGAUUCAGUAGAAAGAUUUUGGAACUGUGUUUUCGUGCAUAGAAAUGGUGCUAGUAGUCGCAUUUGAGUUCAAUUUCUGGAUUUCAAAAAUUCUUCUUGACGUUACCGUGUUCUGCAUUCUGAUUCUUGGUUUAGUUGAGAACCUGAGGUAGAAGAUGUGAUGAGCUGCAUAGAGAUGCAAUAAAGAUGCUGAUUAUUGCUUUGGAUGCUAAAGCGAAUUCACGUUGCAAAGAAAUGCAU